This 253-nucleotide ribosomal RNA is filed under the name uncultured bacterium. RNAcentral's name for it is "partial 16S ribosomal RNA". It matches the Rfam family "Bacterial small subunit ribosomal RNA", at positions 524 to 776 of the family's 1533-position model. The record is from RNAcentral.
UACGAAGGGGGCUAGCGUUGCUCGGAAUCACUGGGCGUAAAGGGUGCGUAGGCGGGGCUUUAAGUCAGGGGUGAAAUCCUGGAGCUCAACUCCAGAACUGCCUUUGAUACUGAGGAUCUUGAGUUCGGGAGAGGUGAGUGGAACUGCGAGUGUAGAGGUGAAAUUCGUAGAUAUUCGCGAGAACACCAGUGGCGAAGGCGGCUCACUGGCCCGAUACUGACGCUGAGGCACGAAAGCGUGGGGAGCAAACAGG